GUUUGUUCUCGGGGCGGGGUGAAACUCCCCACCGGCGGUAUGAAGAGCGAUCUUCGAGCCCGCGAGCGCCUGUAGCAAACGCCUUUUGGGGUGUAGUUUCAGGGUCAGCAGAUCCGGUGAGAUGCCGGAGCCGACGGUUAAAGUCCGGAUGGAAGAGAGCGAAA
This 164-nucleotide non-coding RNA is filed under the name Brucella pseudogrignonensis. RNAcentral describes it as "Ochrobactrum pseudogrignonense FMN sequence". It matches the Rfam family "FMN riboswitch aptamer (RFN element)". Rfam says of the family: The RFN element is a highly conserved domain that is found frequently in the 5'-untranslated regions of prokaryotic mRNAs that encode for flavin mononucleotide (FMN) biosynthesis and transport proteins. This element is a metabolite-dependent riboswitch that directly binds FMN in the absence of proteins. Lineage: Bacteria; Pseudomonadati; Pseudomonadota; Alphaproteobacteria; Hyphomicrobiales; Brucellaceae. The record is from RNAcentral.